UCAGAGUGAACACAUCAUCUUAACGUCCCCACAUUAAUUUUCUUUUUUUUUUCCCCUAGGAUAGGCCAAGCCCAAGGUCUUUGGCUCGUGGCCAGCCAAGCUCCAAGUGACACAGUGUUUGCCUGCUCCUACUUCAGCGCAGGUACUUCAUUUUCCACCAUUUCCGUUGUGAGUCAGCGUUCCAGACAUCCCUGAUUUACAGUGAUAACUGGGAGACAACAGCUUCGAGCAUGGUCUGUACCCUCAGACAGAAGUCAUGGGAAUACUGCCACGUAACGUUUAAGUUGUGAUCAGCCUCCUGUAUAGGGUUUGUCGCUGUGGCCUCAUGGACCACCGAGUCAUAAUUCAGCACAAUGGUAGGGGAGGAAGCUUUUGAUGCAGAAGAUGUGAAUGAGAAACUGGAGGUGUGAACUUCCUGAAGCAACUCUACCACAACUGGCCUUGCUGUGCUUCCCAGACGAGACAUGGACGCCACCCCCCAGGAGUCCAGAGCUGUUGUGAUGUUCUGCCCUGUGAACAAUUUCCAACUCCGGCAGGGACUGCAUGGAGGAAGCGCAGCAGUGUGGAGCUGGGCUGGCUGCUGGACAGCGGCAGGCCAGAGCAGCGUGCCUCUGAACGGCUCCGGGUGCAGGCCAGUUGCAGGAAAUGAGCUGAAAAAAGACAGAGAGAAGGGCUUCAGCCACAGCACUACCUGCCAAGAGGAUGUUAAACCAACAGCACUGCUCUGUGCUCCUGGAGUUUCUGGAAGCCCUCCUUCCUCAAAGCGACAAACACCUUUCAGGAGUAGCAUCUUGUGGAGCACCAG
This 805-nucleotide long non-coding RNA is filed under the name Struthio camelus australis. RNAcentral's name for it is "lncRNA (ENSSCUG00000004261.1)". The record is from RNAcentral. Lineage: Eukaryota; Metazoa; Chordata; Aves; Struthioniformes; Struthionidae.